Molecule: transfer RNA, 73 nt
Filed under: Candidatus Moraniibacteriota bacterium
Lineage: Bacteria; Candidatus Moraniibacteriota
Also listed under: 1 other name
Description: tRNA-Thr
Rfam family: tRNA
About the family: Transfer RNA (tRNA) molecules are approximately 80 nucleotides in length. Their secondary structure includes four short double-helical elements and three loops (D, anti-codon, and T loops).
Source: RNAcentral
GCCGUUGUAGCUCAGCUGGUAGAGCACCACCAUGGUAAGGUGGGGGUCAUCGGUUCAAUCCCGAUCAACGGCU